Molecule: long non-coding RNA, 1509 nt
Organism: Passer domesticus (house sparrow)
Lineage: Eukaryota; Metazoa; Chordata; Aves; Passeriformes; Passeridae
Exons: 3
Source: RefSeq, a predicted model, not a curated record
AUUAUUGCACCAGGGAGCCUGGGGCACUGGGGUGAUGUCACUGGGAAUGAUGUGUGUCAUCACCAUGGAAUCUGCUUGGAGGGGUGUGUGCCACUGCUACUCUAGGGGUACACUUGCUCAUAUCAUGAGAGCCAGCCAGUUCCCCAGGUGGAUCUCUCCAGAAGGAUGGAUGGCUUUGUCCUCAAAACAAACUGGAGUGCAACUGGCCCAUGAUUUCCCUUGGGAGGUGGCUGGGGUCCUGUGCUACCUGUUUUUUGCCAGCUGCUGAGAAAACAUUGAAUUAUGCCACUGGGAUGGACCUUGGCUUUCAAUAGUUCAUCUGCCACUUUUCUGUUGAAAAAUAUGUGCAUUGGGGGCAGGGGUGGUGGAAGGGAAAAAAAUUGAAAACCUGGAUUGGGAUAGUUUUUCUGUCAAAGGACAUUGUCUGAGAAAAGCUGGGUGGCUGAGAAGGAGAGGAAAUCCUCAGAGCUUGAGAAGGGAAAUGCAGUCUUGGGGGGAACCUGUUUCUGCCAAGGCUUUGUGUCCUUUGCCAAAUGCAGUCAUUGCCCCUUUGGCACCUCCUGAGAGCUUCAAUCACUUCUCCUUCAUAAUAAGUUUAUGUUUCUGGAGCAAAAACUUUCUGAGGACAAAGAGUGACAGCAGAUGGGGGAAAAAGUCAAGUUUCUUUCUUUGAGCUGUAAGAAAACACCUCUCCCUUUUCAUUAUGACUUCAUGAAGAAAUAUAAGCUAUAAGGAUGUGAUGGAAAUUGGCAUUUAAAAGCCCUGAAAUGGGACAUCUAAAUGAAAAGGUAUCUUUGCAGUUUCUGCCAGAGCAUUCCCUUGGUGUGUUUAUUUUCUGGUGGUGUUUGGAGUCUGAAGUUACUCUGUAUCAUGAGUGAAACCAAAACUCCCCAUGGCACUUUCUGGGAAUGUGGUGCCAUGCUGGAAAAACAUCCUUUGGCUUUUGAAAAGGCAGUAAUUUGUGCAUUCCAUUUCUUGUAAAAGUCUUUGAAAUUCCUUUUUAUGACGAAUGGUCCUCUCCUCAUUUCUGGUGUGAGGGGACUUUUUAAAUGAAUGGAUUGUUUAGAAGGGACAGAAGUAGUUCUCUUUCCUCCUGCAUUUUUGAAGCCUCUAGACCACCCAUGAUCAGCAGAGUUCAGAGGCAUCUGAUGGUUUUUCAGAACUGUUCUUUGUAUUAAUUUCUUUCUUUGCUGGCUGCUCUGAAGUAACAGACCCAACUGGACCCCUCUGAGUGUUGCUGUUUCAGGCCACAGCUCUCCUGGGUGUCCCAGCUCCCAAAGUGAUUACAGCACCAGUAAUAUAUCUGUGCAUUCCUGGCAUCUUUUAAAAGGACAGUUUAAGAGAAAAAGUUCAAGAGGGAUCAAGCAAACCAAUAGUCUCGACACAGCCUGGCACUGGUUGACCAAAGAGUGAAAACAACUCACAGCAGAAGCCAAUGAAACAAUCACCUGUGGGUAAACAAUCUCCAAACACAUUCCAGAUGAGUAAAACACAGGAGAAGCAAAUGAG